RNAcentral lists this ribosomal RNA (253 nucleotides) under uncultured bacterium. Its description in RNAcentral is "partial 16S ribosomal RNA". It matches the Rfam family "Bacterial small subunit ribosomal RNA", at positions 524 to 776 of the family's 1533-position model. The record is from RNAcentral.
UACGUAGGGGGCAAGCGUUGUCCGGAUUUAUUGGGCGUAAAGAGCGUGUAGGCGGCCACGCAGGUCCGCUGUGAAAACUCGAGGCUCAACCUCGAGACGUCGGUGGAAACCGUUUGGCUAGAGUCCGGAAGAGGAGAGUGGAAUUCCCGGUGUAGCGGUGAAAUGCGCAGAUAUCGGGAAGAACACCCGUGGCGAAGGCGGCUCUCUGGGACGGUACUGACGCUGAGACGCGAAAGCGUGGGGAGCGAACAGG